ACGCUCGACACCUACGGGAGCAGCAGUGGGGAAUAUUGCACAAUGGGGGAAACCCUGAUGCAGCAACGCCGCGUGAGUGAAGAAGUAUUUCGGUAUGUAAAGCUCUAUCAGCAGGGAAGAAAAUGACGGUACCUGACUAAGAAGCCCCGGCUAACUACGUGCCAGCAGCCGCGGUAAUCUGAGCGGGCUGGCAAGGC
Molecule: ribosomal RNA, 197 nt
Filed under: uncultured bacterium
Lineage: Bacteria
Description: partial 16S ribosomal RNA
Rfam family: Bacterial small subunit ribosomal RNA
Source: RNAcentral